GGUGAACCUGCGGAAGGAUCAU
RNAcentral lists this non-coding RNA (22 nucleotides) under Candida tropicalis. RNAcentral also lists the same sequence under 8 other names. Lineage: Eukaryota; Fungi; Ascomycota; Pichiomycetes; Serinales; Debaryomycetaceae. The record is from RNAcentral.